UGAAAACACGCCCCUUGAGGUUAUCCGAC
This 29-nucleotide non-coding RNA is filed under the name Mus musculus (house mouse). Lineage: Eukaryota; Metazoa; Chordata; Mammalia; Rodentia; Muridae. The record is from RNAcentral.